UGGGGAAUUUUGGACAAUGGGCGCAAGCCUGAUCCAGCAAUGCCGCGUGCAGGAUGAAGGCCUUCGGGUUGUAAACUGCUUUUGUACGGAGCGAAAAGGUCUGCCCUAAUACAUGGGGCUAAUGACGGUACCGUAAGAAUAAGCACCGGCUAACUACGUGCCAGCAACCGCGGUAAUACGUAUGGUGCAAGCGUUAAUCGGAAUUACUGGGCGUAAAGCGUGCGCAGGCGGUGAUGUAAGACAGGUGUGAAAUCCCCGGGCUUAACCUGGGAAUUGCAUUUGUGACGGCAUCGCUGGAGUGCGGCAGAGGGGGAUGGAAUUCCGCGUGUAGCAGUGAGAUGCGUAGAAAUGCGGAGGAAAACCGAUGGCAAAGGCAAUCCCAUGGGCAUGCACUGACGCUCAUGAACGAAAGCGUGGGGAGCAAACA
This 427-nucleotide ribosomal RNA is filed under the name uncultured bacterium. RNAcentral describes it as "bacterial SSU rRNA". It matches the Rfam family "Bacterial small subunit ribosomal RNA", at positions 355 to 774 of the family's 1533-position model. The record is from RNAcentral.